AAUAUUGGUCAAUGGAGGCAACUCUGAACCAGCCACGUCGCGUGAAGGAUGUCGGCCCUACGUGUNGAUAACUUCUUUUAUACAGGNAUAAAGUGAGUCACGUGUGACUUUUUGCAUGUACUGUAUGAAUAAGGAUCUUCUAACUCCGUGCCAGCAGCCGCGGUAAUACGGAGGAUCCAAGCGUUAUCCGGAUUUAUUGGGUUUAAAGGGUGCGCAGGCGGAAGAUUAAGUCGGCGGUGAAAUUUUGCAGCUCAACUGGAAAAGUGCCUUCGAAACUGAUUUGCAGGAGUGUAGAUGAAGUAGGCGGAAUUUGUGGUGUAGCGGUGAAAUACAUAGAUAUCACGAGGAACUCCGAUUGCGCAGGCAGCUUACUAAACUACUACUGACGCUCAGGCACGAAGGCGUGGGGAUCAAACAGG
RNAcentral lists this ribosomal RNA (419 nucleotides) under uncultured bacterium. RNAcentral describes it as "partial 16S ribosomal RNA". It matches the Rfam family "Bacterial small subunit ribosomal RNA", at positions 360 to 776 of the family's 1533-position model. The record is from RNAcentral.